CCUGCCCAAUGGUUGUAUCUAAAAGCGGUUGAUAAAAGUCGACCGUGUAAGGACAAUUGAAUGGCCGCGGUAACACUGACCGUGAUAAUGUAGCGUAAUCAAUAGCCAAUUAAUUGUUGGCCAGUAUGAAUGGCGCCACGAAGGCCCCACUGUCUUAAGGAAAUUCCCAGUGAAAUUGAAUUCGUAGUGAAGAUGCUACGUCCAAUUUGUUAGACGAAAAGACCCCGUUGAGCUUUACUGGGGCACUUACACGGCCCCGGCCUUCAAAACUGGGUUGAUAAGCCAAGGCUUACCAUACCUAGGGACCGGCCGAAUUUAAAUGGGCGGCUUAGACUAUGUGGCAGCCCCCCCCGUCGGGGCAGAUGAAACCCCACUCCCCCAUGUCAAAGGGGCUAACCCCCCCCCUUGGGGGGGACAGUGUAAGUAGGACAGUUUGGUUGGGGCGACCGCCUUUUAGAGAGUAACGAAGGUGCGCUUAAGGUGCGUAAUUAAUGACUGAAGCCUGACUGCGAGGGGGACACCCCGAGCAGACACCCCCAAGCCCGCCCUCGCCUUCGUACCAACGGAGGGAGGGCGGCGGUGGGGUGG
This 588-nucleotide ribosomal RNA is filed under the name Parazoanthus swiftii. RNAcentral's name for it is "partial 16S ribosomal RNA". It matches the Rfam family "Bacterial large subunit ribosomal RNA", at positions 1858 to 2408 of the family's 2925-position model. The record is from RNAcentral. Lineage: Eukaryota; Metazoa; Cnidaria; Anthozoa; Zoantharia; Parazoanthidae.